Molecule: ribosomal RNA, 1399 nt
Filed under: Curtobacterium herbarum
Lineage: Bacteria; Bacillati; Actinomycetota; Actinomycetes; Micrococcales; Microbacteriaceae
Description: 16S ribosomal RNA
Rfam family: Bacterial small subunit ribosomal RNA
Source: RNAcentral
CUUACACAUGCAGUCGACGAUGAUCAGGAGCUUGCUCCUGUGAUUAGUGGCGAACGGGUGAGUAACACGUGAGUAACCUGCCCCUGACUCUGGGAUAAGCGUUGGAAACGACGUCUAAUACUGGAUAUGAUCACUGGCCGCAUGGUCUGGUGGUGGAAAGAUUUUUUGGUUGGGGAUGGACUCGCGGCCUAUCAGCUUGUUGGUGAGGUAAUGGCUCACCAAGGCGACGACGGGUAGCCGGCCUGAGAGGGUGACCGGCCACACUGGGACUGAGACACGGCCCAGACUCCUACGGGAGGCAGCAGUGGGGAAUAUUGCACAAUGGGCGAAAGCCUGAUGCAGCAACGCCGCGUGAGGGAUGACGGCCUUCGGGUUGUAAACCUCUUUUAGUAGGGAAGAAGCGAAAGUGACGGUACCUGCAGAAAAAGCACCGGCUAACUACGUGCCAGCAGCCGCGGUAAUACGUAGGGUGCAAGCGUUGUCCGGAAUUAUUGGGCGUAAAGAGCUCGUAGGCGGUUUGUCGCGUCUGCUGUGAAAUCCCGAGGCUCAACCUCGGGCUUGCAGUGGGUACGGGCAGACUAGAGUGCGGUAGGGGAGAUUGGAAUUCCUGGUGUAGCGGUGGAAUGCGCAGAUAUCAGGAGGAACACCGAUGGCGAAGGCAGAUCUCUGGGCCGUAACUGACGCUGAGGAGCGAAAGCGUGGGGAGCGAACAGGAUUAGAUACCCUGGUAGUCCACGCCGUAAACGUUGGGCGCUAGAUGUAGGGACCUUUCCACGGUUUCUGUGUCGUAGCUAACGCAUUAAGCGCCCCGCCUGGGGAGUACGGCCGCAAGGCUAAAACUCAAAGGAAUUGACGGGGGCCCGCACAAGCGGCGGAGCAUGCGGAUUAAUUCGAUGCAACGCGAAGAACCUUACCAAGGCUUGACAUACACCGGAAACGGCCAGAGAUGGUCGCCCCCUUGUGGUCGGUGUACAGGUGGUGCAUGGUUGUCGUCAGCUCGUGUCGUGAGAUGUUGGGUUAAGUCCCGCAACGAGCGCAACCCUCGUUCUAUGUUGCCAGCGCGUUAUGGCGGGGACUCAUAGGAGACUGCCGGGGUCAACUCGGAGGAAGGUGGGGAUGACGUCAAAUCAUCAUGCCCCUUAUGUCUUGGGCUUCACGCUGCUACAAUGGCCGGUACAAAGGGCUGCGAUACCGUAAGGUGGAGCGAAUCCCAAAAAGCCGGUCUCAGUUCGGAUUGAGGUCUGCAACUCGACCUCAUGAAGUCGGAGUCGCUAGUAAUCGCAGAUCAGCAACGCUGCGGUGAAUACGUUCCCGGGCCUUGUACACACCGCCCGUCAAGUCAUGAAAGUCGGUAACACCCGAAGCCGGUGGCCUAACCCUUGUGGAAGAGCCGUCGAAG